This 300-nucleotide ribosomal RNA is filed under the name uncultured Thermococcus sp. RNAcentral describes it as "bacterial SSU rRNA". It matches the Rfam family "Bacterial small subunit ribosomal RNA", at positions 497 to 795 of the family's 1533-position model. The record is from RNAcentral. Lineage: Archaea; Methanobacteriati; Methanobacteriota; Thermococci; Thermococcales; Thermococcaceae.
CUAAUGCCGCGUCAGGCUGCGCGGGAAUACGGGAGAUCCAAGCUUUAUCCGGGAAUACUGGGGGUAAAGGGUGGCGUAGGCGGCAGGUAAAGCGAACAGUGAAAGAUCCCGGCUCAACCGGGGGUACAGUGUUCGAACUCACCAGCUAGAGCACAGCAGAGGUACCUGGAAUUCCCAGUGUAGGAGUGAAAUCCGUAGAUAUUGGGAGGAACACCGAUGGCGUAGGCAGGGUACUGGGCUGUUGCUGACACUAAGGCACGAAAGCGUGGGGAGCGAACGGGAUUAGAUACCCUGGUAGUC